Long non-coding RNA from Oreochromis aureus, 14544 nucleotides. The record is from Ensembl. Lineage: Eukaryota; Metazoa; Chordata; Actinopteri; Cichliformes; Cichlidae.
UGGGCAUUGAUAAGCGGCCAACAUGUCUUGAAGUUCUCCAGAGGCCUGGUAAUGAACUAAUCAUUUGAUUCAGGUGUGUUGACCCAGGGUGAGAUCUAAAACCUGCAGGACACCGGCCCUCGAGGCCUGGAGUCCGACACCCCUGAUCUAUGGUUUUACAGCUGUCUGCUCCGAGGUGUUGCAGACUAAAUCUAGGCUUCACGUCCACUUUCCCACGCUGUCAAGCUGUUUGUGACAUCACUGGUCUAGUCCAAUCAUCUUACUCCCGGCCUUCUUCAGUCCGUUUAGCAUUCACGCCGCAUACUUUAAAUCUCACUGUGUAUCUGUCAUUCUCCCUUGCACAUGCCUUUGUUCAACAUACCUCCUCCCCAUCACCACCUUGUCCUCGUCACUCAGGCUCCAUUCAAGCCACUAUCUUCAUCUCCAACAAGAGCAUCUAGACUCCAAGGGGGCCAUCUCUACUCCCUACUCUACUCACAGCUCGGCUUCGGUUCCGCCAAAACGGGCCAUGAGAGGCUAAGUGCCAAAUACCUCUAUCUAAAUUCUUUACAUCAAUAACGCAUGUCCAUUUCUUUUUAAUGAUCUCUCCUUGUUAAAAUAAUAAUCUUCAUAAUCAAUUCACAUGAAAUAUAUCUAAUUAACCUACUCUGACUUAAUGCUGAUUAUGUGCUGAUCUCUGAGAGGAUAGAGAUUGAGAAGAAAACAGGAACAUACAGACCUAAAGAUGUGCUUAUCUCUGUGUUCUUUGUGUAAUUAUAAUCGAACAAGAAAAGCAGCAUUCCUUGGAAAUUCACCCACAGGAAUACAGUCGAAAGCCAAAUCCUAUCAACGUUAUAAACAGUGGAAAUUAUUGGAAGUUAUAAUCUGGCAGGAAAACACCUGAAUGAAAAUCAAAAAUGAAAAUGCAAAAAUGAGCAGAGAAACAGCCAAAAAAUACACAAUUAAUUAGUGAGCCCACAAUGUUCAGGCAUCAGUUGCUUUUCUGGUGUUGCUUGCCCCCCAUGGUUGGAUUGUCGGAUGAUGACAUCUGCUCAUCACAAGAACUACAGGAAGAGACAACCCCAAAUGUUCCUAGGCGCUCUUCUUUAUACUCAUUGCAUGUUGUUCUUGCAACACACAAAUUUACCCUUUCUGUAUAGAAACAGCAGAGGCAAAAAGAUGUUGCUGGGGAGAUUAAAUAGGGCGUCCCAUGACAUCAACAUGCAUCCAUUAAGUCCUCCUGUGAUAUACACUACAGACCAAUUCAGAUCCCAAACAAAUGUCAACAACAGCAUUCCCAGUAUGGUCACAAUGGUGUAAAAUGCUCUCUUCUUUGAUUGGUCAAUCCCUUUUCUGUUCCUGCCGUCUUGUCUUGGGCUUGAAUAAAUUAAGACACGGAGAACAGAAAGGCUGCAGAAGGAGGAGACGAUUAAAGACAAUGUCAAGAAGCAAAAAUUCACAAUUGAGACGAUGAUAUCAUCUAUCAUUGUAAAACCUGACAGUGCAAAGCAAAGCAGCCAAACACAGCCUAUGCUGAUAUUUCUGAUUCUGACCCAUCUUUCUUUCCUUAAGCUCAGAUAAGUGAUGGGAUGAACAGCAGCCAUGUAGUGCUCCACACAAGUCAGCAUGUGAAAGAAAAUCAGUCCAAACCAACAGACAGAGUAAAGAAAGAACGCCCAGAAUAACAUGUUUAAAUAUUUCAUGACACUACCACAAUAGCUGAAGAUACACGCUAAGACAGCAAACAGGUCCAUGAUGGCGAUGUUGUAGGUGAAGCAGUCAGAGUGACUCAGUGCUUCCAUGAAGGUGGAGCCUUUUUUCCUCCAUUCUUGGAGACCAUGUUGGAGGAUGAGGAUGCAGAUGGGGAGGAUGAGGAAGAUGGCAGUGAUGUAAAAUGCACGAAAGAUAUAGGAGCUUGGUUUAGAGAUGAUACAGUACAUGUAUAAAGGGAGGGAGGUGUUCAUGGAGGAAAGGUGGAAAUCCAAAGUGGACUCAGUGGAGAAUGAUGAGUUUGCCAACAUCUGGGGAAAAAGAACAAAAUAGAAAAGCUUUUUAUUGUUAUUGUACAAGUACAACAAAACUGUUGGUUCUACACACCAACUGUGCAGAAAUAAACUAUAAAUAGUAAGACAGCAGGAAUAAAAAGAAGGAAAAAAAAGCCAACUCAUUGGAAUAAACAUAAAUAAUUGAUAAUAACAAUCCAACAAGAAAAGUAGCAUUCCUUGGAAAUUCAAACCCAAAAGAAUUCAGUGGAAAGCCAAAUCUUACUACGUUAUAAACCACAGGGAAAAGUGGAAAUUAUUAGAAAGUUUUAAUCUGGCAGGAAAACAACUGAAAUAAAAAAAUAGUGGGCAGACAAUGUUCAGGCAUCAGUUGCUUUUCUGGUGUUGCUUGCCCCCCAGGGUCGGAUCUCCAGAUGAUGUCAUCUGCUCAUAGCAAGAAAUACAGCAAGAGACAACCCCAAAUGUUCCUAGGCUCCUCUCUAAUACUCAUUGCAUGUUGUUCUUGCAACACACAAAUUUACCCUUUCUGUAUAGAAACAGCAGAGGCAUCAAGAGGCUGCUGGGGAGAUUAAAUAGGGCGUCCCAUGACAUUAACAUGCAUCCAUUAAGUCCUCCUGUAAUAUACACUACAGACCAAUUCAGAUCCCAAACAAACUUCAAAACCAGUAUUCCCAGUAUGGUCACAAUGGUGUAAAAUGCCCUCUUCUUUGAUUGGUCAACCCUGUCCCUGUUCACAGUGGAGACGAUGAUAUCGUUUAUCUUUAUAAAACUUGCUAUUGCAAAGCAAAGCAGCCAAACACAGCCUAUGCUGAUAUUCCUGAUUCUGACCCCUCUUUCUUUCCUUAAGCUCCGAUAAGUGAUGGGAUGAACAGCAGCCAUGUAGUGCUCCACACAAGUCAGCAUGUGGAAGAAGAUCUGUCCAAACCAGCAGACAGAGUAAAGAAAGAACGCCCAGAAUAACAUGUUUAAGUUAUUCAUGAACAUACUACAAUCACCAAAGACACACGCUAAGACAGCAAACAGGUCCAUGAUGACGAUGUUGUAGGUGAAGCAGUCAGAGUGACUCAGUACUUCCAUGAAGGUGGAGCCUUGUUUCCUCCAUUCUUGGAGACCAUGUUGGAGGAUGAGGAUGCAGACGGGGAGGACGAGGAAGAUGAUAAUGAUGCUCAGUGCACAAUAGAUGUAGGAGCUUGGUUUAGAGAUGAUACAGUACAUGUAUAAUGGAAGCGAGAUGUUCAUGGAGGAAAGGUGCAGAUCGAAAGGGGAGAAAAAUAAGUUUGUCGACAUCUGGGGCAAAAAAAAGAAUAAAAAAAGAAUAGAAUAGAAGAAGUGGGAAAAAAGCCAAAUCAUUGGAACAAACAUAAAUUAAAUCUGUCUUUUUAAUCUCUGUAUAGUUUGUAUAUACAACUUUUUCCCCCUUUUUGUGUUGUCUUAUACAUUAACUGUGCUGCUAUGGAACCCCAAAGCUGUAAUAUAUGGCCAAAUUAAAAUUACUCAGAAGUAAUUUGAAAUUUUCUUACAAUCAGCCAUUAAGUCAAAAAGUUUGAGAUAAUACUACAGCAUUUGCAAUAACUGUUUGACUUACUUCUGUCUGUAGCUGUGGUGGAGGAAACAAGCAUCCAUAAACAUCAGAUAGAAAUGCUAAAAGUUUCUAAAGUAAUCACAUUAAAUUAUGGAUUUGAAAUAAUUUUAAGAAAUAAAGAAACUUCUGCUGUUUCUUCCUUUAAACAUGUAUUAAUUUAUUUUUUCAGUAAUACUGGAAAAUAGAUUUUUUUUAACUUAAGGUACGUUUGGUGAAUUAUACAAUACAGUACAUGAUACUAUCAUUUUACCGCCAAGACUUUGUUUAACAUUUGUCAAUGUGUCAACAUGUGUGAUGCAAAAUGUGAGAGAAAAAUCUGGGACAAAAGAUUAUUAAAGGUUAAACCAUAUCAGAUUACAUCAGUGGAAAUAAAAAUGAACGGUAGUGCUGCUGUAUGGUGGAUAUAUCUCACACUUGAUUUUCUGGAAAAGUUGACUACUUUCCACUGACCCUCUCUCUGUUUGUAUCUGAACUUCCUCUGUGUUUCUCUCACAGGAACGACGUGUCUAUUUGCAAGUAUUUGUUCAAAACAUAUUUCAGCCCCACUCCACCUCCUGCCUCAAAACAGUCAAUUUAAAUAUGGAAAAAACUGAAACAAUGGCAAACUUAGAAAAACAGUUCAGCAGUGACAGUUAUUUUGACAGAAACAUGCAUAAUGUAGACAUAGACACAAAUCAACCACUAAGAUUACUCUACACUAAUGCAGACCUUCACUUCACUCAUGUCCUGCAUUUCUUCUUUGACUACCACACACCAGACUGGGCUUCAUCCACCCGCUGCUCUUUAUUUUGUUCAAUACGACAACAAGUGGAAAUAAUUUAAAUGAUAUGCAGAGUUUUGUAUAUUCAAAUAAACCAAAGGCGUUGAAGGUCUCACCGCUACUCUGAUCUUAGUUUUGCAUUAAGUAUUUCCUUAGUAGUAGAGAGAUGGAGGUGUCGAUGGAGGAAAGGUUGAGAUCCAAAGAGGACUGAGAGGAGACUGAUGAGUUUGCUGACAUCUGGAAAAAAAAAUUAAUUGCACUCUUAGAUUUCUGGGAAAUUUGACUUUGACACAGUUAAGAAAAGAAAUCCAAACAGAGAGAUUUAGUUAUUGACUGUUUAUUUCCUUCCAUUUGAUAUGUAGGUAGAUUUUGUUUUUUUUUCCUUCAUAAAAUGUAUUUAAUAAAGCAGAGUAUCAAUUGCCCAGCACAAACUGAGACAACGACAAACUGGGAAAAACAGUUGAGGAAUGGAAAACAUGCAUAACACACACACACACACACACACAAAUCUUCACUCAUGUUGUGCAUUUCUUUACUGACUACCACACACUACACUACAUCGGGCUUGAUGCACCUGCUGCAGUUUAUUUUGUCCGUUCAUUAGGACAAACAAUGUAAAGUAUUUAAAUAAUGUGCAGACUUUGUAUAUUCCAAUAAACCAGACACAAUAAAGGCAUCAUCUGUCACUAUCUCAGCUCUGCUGUGAUCUUAGAUUUGCAUUGCAUCUUUCCUUAGUAGCAGGAAACAUGCACAGUUGAGGCCAGAAUAAUUAACCCCCCUUAUGAAAUUAGGCAACACUCCUCAUUUCAAUAUAAUGACCAUUAACAACAAGUGUUUGUUUUUUAAAAUGUAUCUGUGUCCAAAAUAACAAGGUCCACUAAUUGUAGUAAGGAUAUUUUUAUUGAUAGACUGAGUAGAAACAAGAAAUGGCAAAAAUGAGCCAUCCAAAAUUAUUAGCCCCAUGCCCAUUAAUAGUCAAUAUUGUAUCCUUUUUGAGCCACAACUGACAACAACCUAAGCCUAGACUACGAGCAGAUUUCUGCAUAUUCUCCCUCAGAAUGUCAACAUAAUUUUCGUUUUCAUUAUGUCUUUUUUCAAAGACAUGAUUCCUUUGUCUUUGGCAUGGUGAGUAACAGCACUCCCUCUCAUGUGUUCAAGAGCCCUGUUCCUUGGAGUCUUUUUAUGUUGAUUGGAUUUUGUUAGGAACCCAACUGAUUGCACAGGUGUGGGUUCAACACUGAUUGGUUAAUUGGUGUAGAUGUGUUUUGAAAGCAAACAUUCAUAUGGGGCUAAUAUUUUUGACCACCUCAUUUUUUUCCUAUAUUUGAUAUAAAGCAAGACUAAAAAUGUAUUUUAUAUUACCAAAUGUACCAAAAGCUAGUAAAUAGCACUGGUUAGUGUUUGAUUAUAUCAAGUUUCAUCAAUGUUGCAAACUUUGGAAAGAGGUUUAGGGAAAUGUUCCAUGAUUCCUGGGGGGCUAAUAGUUUUGGCCUCAAGUGUAAUGGUUCAUAUCUUUAUAGCAAUAUUAAAAUAUCCCUCAAGAAAUUUUUCUUUCACAGUAUGCUGAACUUAAAGAACAUAAACACAAAUAGCCUUUGUGUUUCCUCCCCUUCUUUGUUUCUUGUUAAAUUUAUUUCAUUAAUAACUGUAAUAUUUUAUCACAUAAAGCCCAGCUGAAACAUGAGAAGAUACCUACAAAUAUUUGAUAUAUAAACUGUUUAUCCCCAGUUUUCAAGGUGAUUUUUUCAUGCAUUGACUCAAAACCGCUUUUCUUUCCAAGCUCCUUAGACUACGAUGACCUGGAUGACUGAGAACCUUCACAGACAAGUUGUACACAGUUAGUCAGAAAACUGCAUAUUGAAUAUUAUUGUGCAGCACGUAAGAUCGACAGCACACAGUGUGCUUCGAGGUAGCAGCCACAAAGGGUGUAGUUUGUAUGUGUGAGCACCCGUGUGUACACCUGUGAGCAUGAACGUGUUUGUUUUUAAAAGGUUCCUUCAUGUAAUGAUCUGCUAGAGGGUGUGGGGGGCCACAGCCCCAUCCUCCAGGGCAUGAAGCAGGUAUGGAGGAGAUCCAGGCAAUGUCAUUUGAUUUUCAUAAAAAUCAAAGGAACACCAACCUUAUGAUUCUCUUCUCUUCUCUUCUCUUCUCUUCUCUUCUCUUCUCUUCUCUUCUCUUCUCUUCUCUUCUCUUCUCUUCUCUUCUCUUCUCUUCUCUUCUCGCUGCACUUCACCCCACUCUGUCUCUCCAAGUAUAAUUCAAAUAAAGUUUAUUUGCGUUCAAAUAGAACCAUGUGACAAUGAUGAAUUAACACAUUAUGAAUUGAUUUAUCAAUAAACUAUUCUGCACAGCUGUUUUAUAUGUAAGCUGUGGAGUGUGGCCAGGCUGGCAGAGUAUCAUAGCCCAACCUCCUAUAUGGUACUCCACAUACAGAACUUUAUGUGUAUCUGUAAUACUAAAGUGAGUAAUGUUUGUGUCAAUGGAAAAUUGUACUUAGUAGUCAGUAUAAGCUUUUAAUGAUAUAAGUCUACAUAUGAUAGAAUACUUUCCCACAGCGACAAUAGCUGAAAAAGCAGUUUCACUCUUACCAGGAAGAGGAGAGCUGAAGCACUCUUAUCUUCACUCCCUUCCGAAUCCCACAACACACAUACACCUGCAUACGCACUAACAUUGCUCUGUCUAUGAACAGACGUAUUCACUAUUGUAUUAUUUUUGCAUAUAAAUAAAGACCGGGGUGGUAACAGAGCUCUGUGACCGCCCUUGCAAGUAAAACCUGCAGUGUGUGUGUCUUUACUCUUAGACUCUCAGCUGAAGAAGUGUCAUUUAAAAUAAAUCUCUUGACAAUUUGACAUUUAUUUGAUUCAAGAAUCAAAUAAAGGACAUGCAGUGCUGUUGUGCAUUAGGAUGAACACUGCAAAAAAUUCAAAUGAUGUGCUAUUUUUUAUGUGUAUCCAAAUCAAACAGCUUCAUCAGCCGUGUGGUUUGUGAGUAUUUAUGUGUGUAGUUUUGCUUUUCUAAAUCACACCUGUGACUGCAAACAAAACCACAUUUGAUAUGAUGGCAAACAAAUGUAAGGCUACAUUAAUAACCUAUUAUUUUCUUGUAAUAGGACAAAAGCAAGAAUCAGGGAGAGAAAGUGUUAACAAGCAGGGAUGAAAAAUGUCUCACUGCAUCAGAAACAGGUAAACACCGAUAUGGAUCAGCCUUCUCCACGAGGACAGAGGACAGACCAACACCACCAACAUCAUUAAUAUCCCACAGCUUCACCUCCACUCCCGUCUUACCCUAACACACACACACACACACACACACACACACACACACACACACACACACACACACACACACACGCACAAACACACGCAGAGGUGGGAAGUAAUGAAGUACAAAUACGUUUUAGUUACUAAAGAGUUACUAGACUUUUCAGGUACUGUUUAGUAUAAAGUAAGUACAGUACAAACAGUGCUGUCAGUGUAGAGAAUGGAAAUCAGCCAGCAUAGUUCAUGAAACAUCUGGUGACAUCUGGUUGAAUUCAGGUGUAUAAAUCCACAAAGAGCAGCCUGUCAGCUGACCACAGCAUGCACAUUAACAAAAUCUAUUGGAGCUCUCAAUAGAAAUUAUUGAGUUGAGAUUAUUUUUUUCCCACACCAAGCCAUUAAAACUGAUUUUAGGUUUCCCCACCUGCUGAAUCCCACUUUAACCCUGAUUGUACAUAUUUUAGCCAGAGUCACCCUCUACAAUGUAGCUAACAAAAAAUAGAACUUUUCAAAAAUGUCCUUCUUUUUCUCAUCUUCCUUACUUUUACUUCAGCAAGGAAUUCAAAUCAGUACUUCAGCUUUUAGUACAGAUUUGAUCACUAUCUGUACUUCUACUUGAGCAGAUCUUCACACUGGCUUUCAAUAGUCACAAGUAAAAUCAUUGCUUAAAGUAUGUCCUUUACCAUUAAAUACAAAUGGAGCAUUGCUUCAUAUUUCAUUAAUCUCCAGAUACAGAUUUCUUGUUUUUAAUCUCUUGUUAGUUGUAAGUCCACUGUAUAACCACUCUUUAUCCAAUUCUAAUACUGAGAGAAAUGUGCAUUUGAACAUAUGUGGACAAACUUAAAGCAUUGCUGCUCGAUGUUGUUUGUUUCAUUUCCUAAACAUAAAAUCCAUGUUUGUCUGUCAGAUAACAAAAAGCAGAGGACAAUGCUCAUCUUUAAGUAAAGCAUCAUACACUCAUUGGCUAACUACAUGCAAUUACCGUAACUUGCGGGCUAUAAGCCGCUACUUUUUGCACAAGCUUUGAACCCUGUGGUUUUUAGUCAGGUGCGACUAAUGUAUGAACAAAACAGGAGUUUCCCUAAUUUUAGCUUGUGCGGCUAAUAUUCAGGUGCGCUUUGUAGUCCGGAUGUAAGGAGUAAAUAUUUAAACAAGACAUUCUUCAGGCGAAAUAAAGACACUCAAGACAGUUUAGAUGGUAACAACGUGCGCACGCUGGGUGAGUGCUGCUGUCUCAGGCUCACAACCAGCAUUUGUGGCAGUUCUUUAUUUAUAGCGUUUCAGAGUAUGUGUGUGUGUGUGAAGUUUAUGAUCUCAGAGUGUGUGUGUGUGAUUCUGAAGAAUGGGCCCCUCUUUGUAUUUGGGAGUGUAUAGAUAAGAACGUCCUGCUCUCCCCUUCCUGGGAGUGAAACGGCUCGUAGAGAAUCAGGUACAGAGGAAAUAUACUGGGUGAAUCAUAUCUGAGAACACUAUGCUUUUGUCUUUCAUUUAAGCUUCACUUCAGCGAAACAGUAAAACCAUAAAAUACGAUUAAAUGGAAAGAAUAAAUGGGUAAACAACUAUUAACACUAAAAUUAAAGAUAAACUUUCAAUAACGUACAAAUGGCAGUGGGAAUAAUACUUGAAACAUUUGAAAAUCUCUUGACAUAUCCCUCCUGUUGUUAAUUUGUUUUUACACAUUUUAACUUUUAUCAGCAUACAGUCUCUGGACAGUGCAUUUUUAACUGUUGCUUCAUUAUUAACAGGAGUGUCUUUUUUCUUUUAGUUACAGGGUCUUCAGUCUUUCCAGGGCUCUGGUCAGACUGCCGUCAGCUGCAGUGUUGUUAGGUAUGAAGGUGCAGCAUUGUUCUCCACUUCUUUGUUUCUCGUUGCGCUGCGCGUUCUUCUGGGCAUAGGCUGCAGCUUAAAAAUGGUUCCCCUUUCAGGACACGUCACAUUUGGAGCCUGCCGGUAAAUCCUCGGGCAGUGUGGGUCACAUGGGUUGCUGGUGCAGGCCGUGUUCAUGCCUACCAGGGCCAGUGAUAAGAAUAUUGUGAACACGAGCAUGGAACACAUUGUUGUGACAGUGGUCAGUUGGCAUCCUCUUGUCCAGCAUCGACGUCGUCUGUGCGGUCUCUCACCCUCAGGGGCAUCCUGGUUUGCAUUUAGUAUUUCCAUCUCCAUCAGGUCUCCCUCUGUGAGCGUUUCUCCUCUUCUUGACCGUGGACACACCCUUGGCCUCCAAUGAGUAGACACCCAGCAAGAGGAGCGAGUGUCUCAGUGUUGCCACUGAUAGCCCUUCUCCCCACCAGUGAACACCAGAGGUUAGAGCGGUCUGCAGUCUAGACUUUACUGCUCACUUUUCUAUUCGGGAGAUUGUGGUUCUUGGAUUGGUUCAACCCUUUUUCAACCUGCAAGAAACUGGAAGAGAAUCACUCGGCAGUUGAUUGUUCAAAACUAUUUCUCUGUUUUCCAGCAACUUUGUCAUCCACUCUGCUAGAGUUGUUUCUCUUAUUGACUUGUUUGAAAUUUAAUGUAUAGAAGUGUCUUUAACUAGUGUUUUUAACUAAUUAGACUCCCUCCUGUUGACGCAUGAACAACUUCAUGUGUCACAAGAGCUACUGUUUUUGUAUAAAGACUUCGGUUGUAACGGUUUCCCAUCACAUAUGAUCAGAUCAUCCUGUAGAAUUGCUCCGCACCUCAACCAUUUCUUUCGCUCUAGUAAUGGCACAAAUGUGUGGUUCAUUUCUCAAGAUAUCCAGUGGAAUUUGCAUAGAGGUGUUGUCACCAUAAGUGCGGCUACUGUUUGUACUGCUACUGAUUUUGCUGCUUGGUCUGCAAAAUUGUAAGCCCUCUGUCAUGCCAUAUUUUCAAAAUGGCGUACUGCAGAUCAAAUUCAUCAUUGAUAAGUCAAACCAACGAAAAAAAAAACAAAACUAGUCAAAAAAAAAAAAAAAAAAAAAAAAAAAAUAUUCUUUCGUUAACAGAAAUAAAAAUAAAAACAAAAGUAAAACUAUCUAAAACUGCAAUGAGUGGUCACAAAAUUAACUGAUUUUGUAGCAAAAAAAUGUGUUUAGUUUUAAAAUCUUAAGUCAAAACUAAAGAAAAAUAAAACUAACGAAAAUUGCAAAACUAUUAAAACAGUUAGAAUAAACAUAUUGGCUGUCUCUGUGUCUCUCUGUCUGUCUGCGUCUUGACACAGUCAGCUCCUUUGUAUGGGCAUGUAGUUCCUGUUACACGUUUUCCUGUUACAGACACAUUUCCCGUUUCUCCAGAGUAAUCGAACUCUUUGUUGAAUUUAACUGUUUUCAUCUAGUCUGCACUUCCACCUAAAUGUAAGUAGAAAGGUUAUAUCCAAGUUACUGAAUGCUAUUUUUAUAGAUGCAGUAAGGAGAACAGAGCACAUUCCACGGGAGCUUCACUCCCAUCUCUGGUGGAGGCAGAAAAAGGGAGCCAAGGUCAUAACUCAGGCUCAUUAAGAGUCAGAAAGAAUGUGAGUGCUUAGUCUUGUGGCUAUCGCGCAUUGUAUAUAGCUUCUUUUCUUUGUUUAGUAGCUUUCUGCCUUCACCUGAGGGUGUACCCUAAGUAUGUGACUCAGGUCUCCAUAAUCGGAGUUUAUUUAAAGAUAAAUAAGAUGAUCCAUUCAUUGCUCGUGAGAUCAUGCACUAGACGUAUGUUGCAGUAUUUAGCUUUCUUCAACACUUAAACAAAAUAUCACUUCUUAUCCAUUACCAUUCUCUCGUAUUAAAAACAAACAAACAAACAAAAACAAACUAAGUUUAACUUUUCUGCUUUGUCACUUAAAACAAAGCAUCGCUCUCAACCCAGCUCUCAGCUGGCUCGAAGUAUCAUCAUCAAGCAUGAAGUUGCAUGAAGAGAGCUGUUUCAGAAGUCACAGCAUGGGGCACUUUGAUGAUUAAAGUGUGUCCUAAAACAAUGUCAGCUGACCUUUCACUGCCUCUGCUGCAGCUACACCAGCCUGCACACAACAGAGUCUAAUUUGCAGAAGUAAAAUGCAAGCAGACGUUGUUUUUCUCCAAAUGCCUGUGUUAAAACAGCUUUCAUGCAACCUGCACUUCCAUCUACAUGUAAGUAGAAAGGCUAUUUCCAAGUUACUGAAUGCUUCUUCUUCCUUUUUUCUCUGUAGAUACAGCACUACAUAUUUUCUUAAGGCAUUUCGGACAAUUUCUAUUUUGUUUUAAAAUAAUUCAUAUAUCUCAUACAUGUUACAUAUGUCAAACUUCUAAGUUGGGAAAAACUUAGCAUUGCUUACAGCUCGUAGCUCACAGCUCUAAAACUAGGCAUCAGUAAAUCAUGUGCCUAAUCAUUUCGUGUCACUGUGAUCCACAAGUAUGAUCACAGAUUUGUUUUUCAAACCAACAAAACAAACAAACAAAAACAAGUUGCUGAUGGCAUGAAGGCCUUACACACGAGUUGGGACACAAAAAGAAAAAGAACUGCUGUCAGAAACAAAGGAGAAGUGUGAGAGAAAAAACUGAGAUCACAGACUGCUGCAUGUGUGAGCUUUUAAUAUCAUGCAGCUUCUGCUCUGAAAAACAAAAGAAAUUAAUACAAAAUAAAAGUGUGUAUCUUGCUCAUUAGCUUGGUAGUAUAGGUUUGCUCUUCAUCUUAACAAAAUCUCAUCUAAGAUGACAGGUUUACAAGCAGGUCAAGUGUCUCUAUGCACUUAAUUAGUUUACAUAUUUUCUUUAUUUUCUUCAUCUCAUAUGUCAUUAUACUGAAUUUGAGCAAACCUUAAGCUUGAUACAGAUUACUUUUAACAAUUAUCCACCUCACAUCACAACUGACUGAGGUGCCUCUUCAUAUUUAAUAUUAUUUCAUUAUUAAUGUUAUUAUCUUUUAUUUAACAGCAAUAGUAUAUUACAAUAUUUUAUUUGUGUCCACCAAGGGCUGAGGGUGAGCUGCAGUCUCACCCUUUCUCAAGCUGGAGACAUUUUCCUUGGCUGAACAAUGACACAGCCUUAAUAUGCCGUAUGCAUCUCUCUUUUUUUAUUUGAUAUAUUUUGUGUGAAUUAUCUGGUUUCACGCAUUCCAUUCAUUCAGCUUGGUUGUCUUCCCAAUAUUAUUUCAUUGCUUUAAUUUAAGUUAACCUUAAUUUAACCUUUUGUUUAUUCCACUUCAUUCCUCUUUCCAUGCUUUAAAAUAUUACAACUCUUGUGUAUGCUUUGUUUUCUUUUUAGCAUCCUUUUCAGUAUUUAUUUCUGCUUGGAGGGUUUCUUAUAAUUUAGUUAUACAUUUUCCCUCCCACGUGGGACAUUUAGGUUUCUUUAGGAUUUCUCCAUCUGUUUGUGCUUAUUUGUCCUGCACUGGGGCAUUUCUUUUCUAACCAUAGUUCAUCUGCAGUCAAUUCAGGCUUUGCGGGUUUAUUUCCCAUUUUUUGGGCUUAGAGUUAUCAAUAAUAUUUUAUUGUAAAUUGCUUAUAAUUUUAUUUUUUUUAUUGUAUUUGGAAACACCUUGUUUUGCUUUUAUGUAUUAAUACUGCCAACAUACACUCUGUGUGACCUUCGCUGAUAUUAGAGUCGGGGGAGGUUAUUAAGGCAGCCUUCUACCCUGGUCUAGACCCAGGGCGGCCUUAAUUUUAUGCGUUGAAGCGCAACCUUUGACCCCUUCUCACCAGUACAUCGGUCAACACAGGAAACAGUAAGAGUGGUGCAGAAACCUGUUGUUUCUAUUCAAAAGGUCACUCACUCUACAACAACACAUAAACUUCACACGCGGUACUAUAAUCCUAUUUUAAUUGACACGUUCUUUAUUUUCAUUCACUCGUGAGAGUGAGAUCCCUUUAUUUUCAUUCACUCGUGAGAGUGAGAUCCCUUUAUUUUCAUUCACUCGUAAGAGUGAGAUCCCUUUAUUUUCAUUCACUCGUAAGAGUGAGAUCCCUUUAUUUUCAUUCACUCGUAAGAGUGAGAUCCCUUUAUUUUCAUUCACUCGUGAGAGUGAGAUCCCUUUAUUUUCAUUCACUCGUAAGAGUGAGAUCCCUUUAUUUUCAUUCACUCGUGAGAGUGAGAUCCCUGACUUCCAACCUUUUAAACUGCGGAGUGACCCCACACAGGACCGUCAAACUCCGUCUUACAGGCGAGCCCUUUCACUCAUAAGAGUGAGAUCCCUGACCUCCAGUCCUUAAAGGACGGGUCUUUUAAGAACCGUGUCAAUCUAAAAACCGAUUUUAGCCGCAAUGUGUUGUUGAGUGUUUAUAUUCACCUGCUUCGGAUGAAAAUGCCGGUCAGAGAGAAUCCUCCUCGCUCCCUGGGAUCGUGGACCUCUUGCUAAAAACGCUGGCCAACGGCGAAUUCACGUAGUUGGUCUUUACUGUUUCACUAGAAACAGGCUGUCGCGACAGACUUUGCAGCGUGGGUUCACGAAUCCAGGAAACGACGAGGUCACUCUGUUGGCUCGAAGGACCAAAUAAAUGUGAGGAGUAAAUAUUUAAACAAGACAUUCUUCAGGCGAAAUAAAGACACUCAAGACAGUUUAGAUGGUAACAACGUGCGCACGCUGGGUGAGUGCUGCUGUCUCAGGCUCACAACCAGCAUUUGUGGCAGUUCUUUAUUUAUAGCGUUUCAGAGUAUGUGUGUGUGUGUGAAGUUUAUGAUCUCAGAGUGUGUGUGUGUGAUUCUGAAGAAUGGGCCCCUCUUUGUAUUUGGGAGUGUAUAGAUAAGAACGUCCUGCUCUCCCCUUCCUGGGAGUGAAACGGCUCGUAGAGAACCAGGUACAGAGGAAAUAUACUGGGUGAAUCAUAUCUGAGAACACUAUGCUUUUGUCUUUCAUUUAAGCUUCACUUCAGCGAAACAGUAAAACCAUAAAAUACGAUUAAAUGGAAAGAAUAAAUGGGUAAACAACUAUUAACACUAAAAUUAAAGAUAAACUUUCAAUAACGUACAAAUGGCAGUGGGAAUAAUACUUGAAACAUUUGAAAAUCUCUUGACACCGGAAAAUACAGUAUGCUUCUCACCCAGAGGCGCU